UACGUAGGUGGCAAGCGUUGUCCGGAAUUACUGGGUGUAAAGCGCGUGUAGGCGGCAGACCAAGUCGGCGGUGAAAGCGCCCGGCUCAACUGGGUGAGGUCCGUGGAAACUGGUCAGCUGGAGGACGGUAGAGGCGAGUGGAAUUCCCGGUGUAGUGGUGAAAUGCGUAGAGAUCGGGAGGAACACCUGUGGCGAAGGCGGCUCGCUGGGCCGGUCCUGACGCUGAGACGCGAAGGCGUGGGGAGCGAACGGG
RNAcentral lists this ribosomal RNA (253 nucleotides) under uncultured bacterium. RNAcentral describes it as "partial 16S ribosomal RNA". It matches the Rfam family "Bacterial small subunit ribosomal RNA", at positions 524 to 776 of the family's 1533-position model. The record is from RNAcentral.